CUCUCUCUUCCUCUCUCUCUCCCUAGCCCUUCUCCCUGCCUCUCAAAAAUAAAAUAAAUACACAUUAAAAAAGGCAGUGCCCUCCCGGAACCUUCCAGUGCCAGCCAUUUGAAUCACCACCCACUUUGCCCAGAUGUAAGGCCUGCAGGGAGAAAACUCAGACGUCAUCCGGACUUGGUGGGUCGUGCUGGGACUGAGGGUGAGCCUGAGGCUCACUGCCUGGAGAAAAGACAAGGUUCUUAUACAGAUCCUAAAGCUACCACAGCUGGGUUGGUGCCUGUUCUAGAACAGAAGUUCUCCAAGGGCGGUCACAGGCCAGCAGGAUCAGCAUCAGCUAUGCUAGGUGUGGGACCUGGCAAUCUGUGAUUUAACGAGCCCUGCAGGUGAUUCCAACGUGCCCCUAAGCAUGAGGGCGCUGCUCAAGACCUGUGCUUUCAGGAAUCACUAACCACAUAAGCCUGUUUCAAUUUAAAUUAGUCAAAUUUAAAGGAAACUAAACAUUCAAGCUCUUCCAUCACACCAGCCACCUUUCAAAUGUUCAGUCGCCACCCAAUUGGACAGCAUAGAUCUAGAACAUGGCCAUCAUCACAGAAAGUUCUAUUGGGUUGCGAUACUCUAGAACUUUGCUACUUCCUGUGGUCCACAGACAUGAGCAUUGGCAUCACCUGGGAGUUGCUUAGAAAUGCAGAACUCAGGCUCCAUCCCAGAACUUCUGAUUCAGAGUCUGCUUUUUUGCCAGAAACCCAGGUGCCAGAUUGCCCUGCAGCUUUCAGUUUGGCUCAACGAUACAAAAUUGUUGAUAAUUCAACUGUUUUUUGACCUAUAAAGCCGCAAACAGCAAGGUGACUGGUGGCCUAAAUGGGCUGUCCGAAGCCCCUCAGGAACUGGGCGUGGGGCGGGAGGAAGAUGCCCAGAUGGUUGGGGUGUUCGGGUCUCAUGCAAGAAUAGAUGUCCCUUAAGGAGCUGUCCCAGACGGUCAAGGGCAGCCUGCUGGUGUGCACAGGCAAAGGGCACUGUGCCUGCAGGAAGCAUAAAUUUAUAUUGGAGUAUCUAAAUGGGAGCUCAGGUGGCCCCCCUCACCACAGACUGGGCAGCACAGGCAGUUCAUUUCCUUAGAAUCUGCAAAGUUUUCUGCAGUCGGUGGCCUUCUGUCUGAUGCGCGCUCCCAGGAGUCCUGUCGAAGCAAGCUGAUCAGCAUGCCGCUGCCUGUCCAGAAUACCAAACAGCAAUGCGGGCUCCCGUCCCUCCACCACAGCCCGCUAUGCUGGCACCAGCUCUGCCCUCCAAGAGCCCUUUCCCUCCCUCCACCGUGGCUUUUCUACAAACCCACUUGUUUCCAGGUGGCAGAAAUGCACCCCGCAAUCCAACAAUAUGUUUCUAAAACCUUCUCCAUGACAACGCAGGGCCAUAAGCAGGCUGCCGGCUCAGAGUUAGCCAGAGAAGGGCUGUGGGGGGAGAUCGCUGUGGGGGAGACGGCACAGAGACAGCACAGGGCAGCCGGGGAUGCCCAAAGUCAGCCUGAGCAGUCUGGGGCUUAAUGUCCCAAGCUCUGGGAAAGGGGUCUGGGGAAGCCGUGAGCAAAUGUCUCCAGAUGCCUAGCAGUGAUCAUUCACAAACCUUGACUUUAGUCCAGGACAGCGUGGACUUCCUCUCUUCCUGUUACAGGUGAACAAGAGGAGAGAAAUCGUGAGAAUCCAGCAGAGAAGGACCUGGUUUUUUAAAUGGGCUGCCACUGCUUUGUGAUUGGACAAAUUCUUUUUUUUUUUUUUUGAUAUAAUUUAUUGUUAAA
Herpailurus yagouaroundi (jaguarundi) is the source of this 1789-nucleotide long non-coding RNA. RefSeq lists it as uncharacterized. The record is from RefSeq and is a predicted model, not a curated record. Lineage: Eukaryota; Metazoa; Chordata; Mammalia; Carnivora; Felidae. The transcript has 2 exons.